UGGGGAAUAUUGCACAAUGGGCGCAAGCCUGAUGCAGCCAUGCCGCGUGUGUGAAGAAGGCCUUCGGGUUGUAAAGCACUUUCAGCGGGGAGGAAGGCGUUAAGGUUAAUAACCUUGGCGAUUGACGUUACCCGCAGAAGAAGCACCGGCUAACUCCGUGCCAGCAGCCGCGGUAAUACGGAGGGUGCAAGCGUUAAUCGGAAUUACUGGGCGUAAAGCGCACCCAGGCGGUCUGUCAAGUCGGAUGUGAAAUCCCCGGGCUCAACCUGGGAACUGCAUUCGAAACUGGCAGGCUAGAGUCUUGUAGAGGGGGGUAGAAUUCCAGGUGUAGCGGUGAAAUGCGUAGAGAUCUGGAGGAAUACCGGUGGCGAAGGCGGCCCCCUGGACAAAGACUGACGCUCAGGUGCGAAAGCGUGGGGAGCAAACAGG
Molecule: ribosomal RNA, 429 nt
Filed under: Chloroflexota bacterium
Lineage: Bacteria; Bacillati; Chloroflexota
Description: Chloroflexi bacterium partial 16S ribosomal RNA
Rfam family: Bacterial small subunit ribosomal RNA
Source: RNAcentral